CGUCUAUCUACAUACGCGGUGCUAAUAGUUUCCGAAUAAAAACAAUGUGGUCGAUACUGGCGUUUCGAGAUUCCAAUAGGACGUUUCGGCUAGGAAGUAUCACUUUCAAGUGAAAACUGAGGUCUACGAUCGAAGCUACCCGCAUAUAUACGUCAUCGGUGUGGAGAACAUUGACGGGCGGGGCAGGAUAAGGUUCCUGGCGCGUGACUGUAUUUUAUUCCCCUGUUCCCAGUCUUUGUUGCAUAUUAUGAAGGUGUUGUCCACCAACGUCUCUUGUUCUUGACGACGACACCUUCAUAAUAUGCAGACAGCUGGAAUAGAGAAAGAGAAAAACCAGGUAAUACCAUUCCUCAAUGUCGUGUACACAAAACUCACAUACAGGCCAGUACCUAAAUGCAUCGUCCAACAACAGAGCAACACGCAAACGAGGAAUAAUCCAAUCACUGUACAAAAGAGCAAAAACUGUCAGUAGCAACCAAGUUCUACUUAACGAUGAAGUUGAACGAACUAAAGAAGAUCAGAACGGUUAUUCAACGAGACUGAUUGAAGAUGUUAUUACUCUCAAUACCAAGAGUUUCGGAAAAGAUCAAAAGAAUUGCAACAAAAUACAACAUCAAAACUGCCUUCCGUUGUGAACAAAAUAUAAGAAGUUUAAUAACGAAAACAAAACCAGAAAACAUCACAAACAAAAAAUUCCACAAUUCUACAACAGGGAACCCACUGGAAGAAGAGAAAGUCCAUAGAAGCUGCCUCUAUCCAACGCAACAACAUCUUUAGUCAUCCAAUCAAUCUCCACUGUCACACGUCAGGAACCUUGAGCUGUCCCACCCGUUGACUAAUCAACCGAUGACAUGACUCGUUCACCAUAUAAAUGCUUCGAUCAUAGUGCUCAGUUUUCACUUUUCACGCCUAGUCAUACUUUCUAGCCGAAGCGUCGUGUUAAAAACGUUUUUCGACAAUGGAAGUUCGAAAUGCCCGGUAUUGGCCAGAAUGAACCUUUAGAGAAACUUAGACAAGAAAGAAUGCUUCAAAGAAAAGAAAGAAAGUUUUAAAAUGGCAAAUUUGUAACUUGAUUUAAAAUUAAGUUAGUUUUAUUAAGUCAAUCAGAUCAAUUUUUUAACUCCUUUAGUGUAAAAUAAAUAAGAACUAAAAGUUCAGAUUUUCACGAAAUUAUAUAUUUUCAUAUGACAAUUGUUGCGACAACACCGUAUCUUUAUCAAAUGUCUUUUAGUGUAUUUAAACUUAAUAGAUUGAAGCAAAUUUGAGGAGGAAGUGGGUGAUUAUCUGAGUGAAUGAAUUUCUAAAAUUUUGUGAUAUACUAAUAGCCAUGGAAUCCUAAGUUUCUGAAAUGGUCUCUAUAUCCCGCGUUGCAUAUAAUUCUGAUCGCCCUUUUCUGCGUACAAUUUUUUUAAAUUUAAUGUGCUGACUUUCUCCACAGUACAACAGCAUAUGCCAGAUCGAAUGAGAUUAGACAUUCUGUUUUUA
Long non-coding RNA from Cylas formicarius (sweet potato weevil), 1485 nucleotides. RefSeq lists it as uncharacterized. The record is from RefSeq and is a predicted model, not a curated record. The transcript is spliced from 3 exons. Lineage: Eukaryota; Metazoa; Arthropoda; Insecta; Coleoptera; Brentidae.